GCCGGCGUGGCGAAAUCGGCAGACGCAAGGGACUUAAAAUCCCUCGAUGGAAACAUCGUACCGGUUCAAAUCCGGUCGCCGGCACCA
Molecule: transfer RNA, 87 nt
Filed under: Ruminococcus bromii
Lineage: Bacteria; Bacillati; Bacillota; Clostridia; Eubacteriales; Oscillospiraceae
Also listed under: 12 other names
Description: tRNA-Leu
Rfam family: tRNA
About the family: Transfer RNA (tRNA) molecules are approximately 80 nucleotides in length. Their secondary structure includes four short double-helical elements and three loops (D, anti-codon, and T loops). Further hydrogen bonds mediate the characteristic L-shaped molecular structure. tRNAs have two regions of fundamental functional importance: the anti-codon, which is responsible for specific mRNA codon recognition, and the 3' end, to which the tRNAs corresponding amino acid is attached (by aminoacyl-tRNA synthetases). tRNAs cope with the degeneracy of the genetic code in two manners: having more than one tRNA (with a specific anti-codon) for a particular amino acid; and 'wobble' base-pairing, i.e. permitting non-standard base-pairing at the 3rd anti-codon position.
Source: RNAcentral